CCUACGGGAGGCAGCAGUGAGGAAUAUUGGUCAAUGGCCGGAAGUCUGAACCAGCCAUGCCGCGUGAAGGUCAGUGCCCUAUGGGCGUUAAACUUCUUUUGUGCGGGAGCAAUAAUGGUCACGUGUGGCCAGACGAGAGUACCGUACGAAUAAGCAUCGGCUAACUCCGUUCCAGCCGCCGCGGUAAUACGGGGGAUGCAAGCGUUAUCCGGAUUUAUUGGGUUUAAAGGGUGCGUAGGCUGUGAGGUAAGUCGGCGGUGAAAUGCCCCCGCUCAACGGGGUGAAGUGCAAUUGAUACUGCCUUGCUGGAAUGCGGAUGCCGUAGGAGGAAUGUGUGGUGUAGCGGUGAAAUGCAUAGAUAUCACACAGAACACCGAUUGCGAAGGCAUCUCACGAAUCCGCGAUUGACGCUGAUGCACGAAAGCGCGGGUAUCAAACAGGAUUAGAUACCCCAGUAGUC
Molecule: ribosomal RNA, 460 nt
Filed under: uncultured bacterium
Lineage: Bacteria
Description: partial 16S ribosomal RNA
Rfam family: Bacterial small subunit ribosomal RNA
Source: RNAcentral